This 194-nucleotide ribosomal RNA is filed under the name uncultured bacterium. Its description in RNAcentral is "partial 16S ribosomal RNA". It matches the Rfam family "Bacterial small subunit ribosomal RNA", at positions 338 to 523 of the family's 1533-position model. The record is from RNAcentral.
CCUACGGGAGGCAGCAGUGGGGAAUUUUGCGCAAUGGGCGAAAGCCUGACGCAGCAACGCCGCGUGAGUGAUGAAGGUUUUCGGAUCGUAAAGAUCUGUCAGAGGGGAAGAAACUCCCGGGAGAUAAUAUCGCCUGGGCCUGACGGUAACCUCAAAGGAAGCACCGGCUAACUCCGUGCCAGCAGCCGCGGUAA